UGUUGUGUGCUCUUUGGAUCCUCUUUCAUUUUGUGUGAUCUUUGGAACACUUUCAUGAAUGCAAAAAUUUAAGUCAUGAAUGAGGCCUGUUCAACUUCAUGCUGUUGAAUACAGAAUUUAUCAUGCAAUAUAGCAUUAAACAUAUAAUCCAGUAGCUCAUUGUUUUCUAGGUACAAAAAGAAGAAAACACAAUAAAAUGAGAUCAAUAAAACCGGAUGUGCCCAGUCAAGAAAUUGGUAUGAGUUGUUCUGGCCCUGCAGAAAUAUAUUCUCUGAUCACUUAUGUACCAGCCACAUCUCAACCCAUAUGUGGAGGCCCCGAACACCCAGAGUCACAUCAGGACAACACAACAGAUCCCACAGACACUAACUCUUUCAUUAUGUCUGUAAAUUCAAUUUACCAGCCCUCAGGUAAUAAGAUGUUUCUUUCAUUAAAAU
Molecule: long non-coding RNA, 437 nt
Organism: Labeo rohita (rohu)
Lineage: Eukaryota; Metazoa; Chordata; Actinopteri; Cypriniformes; Cyprinidae
Exons: 4
Source: RefSeq, a predicted model, not a curated record